This 854-nucleotide ribosomal RNA is filed under the name Acrobeloides sp. 6 TWN2098. Its description in RNAcentral is "SSU rRNA". It matches the Rfam family "Eukaryotic small subunit ribosomal RNA", at positions 114 to 973 of the family's 1831-position model. The record is from RNAcentral. Lineage: Eukaryota; Metazoa; Nematoda; Chromadorea; Rhabditida; Cephalobidae.
AAUUUACUUGAUCUUGACACAAUCCUACUUGGAUAACUGUGGUAAUUCUAGAGCUAAUACAUGCAUUAAAGCUCUGACCUCACGGGAAGAGUGCAUUUAUUAGAACAAAACCAAGCGGCUUCGGCUGUUUCUGGUUGACUCAUAGUAACUGAGCUGAUCGCAUGGUCUUGCACCGGCGACGUGUCUUUCAAGUAUCUGCCGUAUCAACUUUCGAUGGUAGUGUAUCUGACUACCAUGGUGAUCACGCGUAACGGAGAAUAAGGGUUCGGCUCCGGAGAGUUCGCCUGAGAAAUCGCGAACACAUCUAAGGAAGGCAGCAGGCGCGAAAAUUACCCACUCUCAGCACGAGGAGGUAGUGACGAAAAAUAACGAGACCGUUCUCUUAUGAGGCCGGUCAUCGGAAUGGGUACAAUUUAAACCCUUUAACGAGUAUCUAUGAGAGGGCAAGUCUGGUGCCAGCAGCCGCGGUAAUUCCAGCUCUCAAAGUGCAUAGAAUUAUUGCUGCGGUUAAAAAGCUCGUAGUUGGAUCUGUGCCAUAGGACGUGGUCCACCUUCGGGUGCGUACUACGCUCCUAGGCUUUUUGCUGGUUUUCCCGUCGUAGCCUUCACUGGUUGCGGCGGGUGGCUGGCGAGUUUACUUUGAGAAAAUCAGAGUGCUCAAUACAGGCGUAUCGCUUGAAUGAUUGUGCAUGGAAUAAUAGAAAAGGAUUUCGGUCCUCUUUUAUUGGUUUUGUGGACUGAGAUAAUGGUUAACAGGGACAAACGGGGGCAUUCGUAUCUCUGCGUGAGAGGUGAAAUUCUUGGACCGUAGAGAGACGCCCUACUGCGAAAGCAUUUGCCAAGAAUGUCUUCAU